UAGGGCAAGUCUGGUGCCAGCAGCCGCGGUAAUUCCAGCUCCAAUAGCGUAUAUUAAAGUUGUUGAGGUUAAAAGGCUCGUAGUUGAACCUUGGGCCUAGCCGGCCGGUCCGCCUCACCGCGUGCACUGGCUCGGUUGGGCCUUUCCUUCUGGAGAACCCCAUGCCCUUCACUGGGUGUGGUGGGGAACCAGGACUUUUACUCUGAACAAAUUAGAUCGCUUAAAGAAGGCCUAUGCUCGAAUAUAUUAGCAUGGAAUAAUAGAAUAGGACGUGUGGUUCUAUUUUGUUGGUUUCUAGGACCGCCGUAAUGAUUAAUAGGGACAGUCGGGGGCAUCAGUAUUCAAUUGUCAGAGGUGAAAUUCUUGGAUUUAUUGAAGACUAACUACUGCGAAAGCAUUUGCCAAGGAUGUUUUCAUUAAUCAGGAACGAAAGUUAGGGGAUCGAAGACGAUCAGAUACCGUCGUAGUCUUAACCAUAAACUAUGCCGAUUAGGGAUCGGACGGUGUUAUUUUUUGACCCGUUCGGCGCCUUACGGGAAAC
Molecule: ribosomal RNA, 541 nt
Filed under: uncultured Ascomycota
Lineage: Eukaryota; Fungi; Ascomycota
Description: SSU rRNA
Rfam family: Eukaryotic small subunit ribosomal RNA
Source: RNAcentral